Long non-coding RNA from Crotalus tigris (Tiger rattlesnake), 614 nucleotides. RefSeq lists it as uncharacterized. The transcript is spliced from 3 exons. NCBI's taxonomy places the organism in Eukaryota, Metazoa, Chordata, Lepidosauria, Squamata, Viperidae. The record is from RefSeq and is a predicted model, not a curated record.
GUGCUUCUUUUCAUCCCCCUCAGACUAAAAUCAGUUUGUCAGCAUUGAGACUGGUGUCACUGGUGACUAUAGCUCCAUCUACAGGUCUGCAAACAGAGGGGUGCUGCAGCUUCACUCCCUUACCCCAAGACAGAUGUAUUGCAACAGUUCAGGAUGAUUUGUAUAAAGGAUAUUUUUCCUCCAACCAUCUCACUAUGUAUCUUUUCUACGUAGGACAGAGAAGUGGCUGGUAAGUGGCUGUUGCUGGGUGAGGGAGGGAGUAAGGGAUUGCUAAAUUGGCUGAGAAACUGUCAUGGAAUGUUGAAAAUGAAAAUCAUGUGACUGCAACAUCAGCCGAGCAAGAGCCAGUAGCACUGAAGCAAACACAAUUUUCUUAAAUUUCAUGCUCUCUGGGUCAUGGGUCCCAGGUUUUGGACACAUUCUGUAAAUUAGCCUAUUUGAAUUACCUUGUUAAAAAAUGAUUGCUCUAUGAUGCAUCAUUUCACCAUUUCAUGACAACCAGAGUUUUAGUUAUAUAUAGAUUUCUAAUGAAAACGCUCCAGAAUUUUCCUAAGAAGUCAGAUUCCUUUCAUUCCUGCUGUAAUGCCACUUAUCCUUUGUGUAGAAAAAAAUGG